GCAUCGAUGAAGAACGCAGCGAAAUGCGAUAACUAAUGUGAAUUGCAGAAUUCAGUGAAUCAUCGAGUCUUUGAACGCACAUUGCGCCCUCUGGUAUUCCGGAGGGCAUGCCUGUCCGAGCGUCAUUGCUGCCCUCAAGCCCGGCUUGUGUGUUGGGCCCCGCCCCCCCCGCCGGGGGGACGGGCCCGAAAGGCAGCGGCGGCACCGCGUCCGGUCCUCGAGCGUAUGGGGCUUCGUCACCCGCUCUAGUAGGCCCGGCCGGCGCCAGCCGACCCCCAACCUUUAAUUAUCUCAGGUUGACCUCGGAUCAGGUAGGGAUACCCGCUGAACUUAAGCAUAUCAAUAAGCGGAGGA
This 354-nucleotide ribosomal RNA is filed under the name uncultured fungus. Its description in RNAcentral is "eukaryotic LSU rRNA". The stretch from base 1 to 125 matches the Rfam family "5.8S ribosomal RNA", at positions 30 to 154 of the family's 154-position model. Lineage: Eukaryota; Fungi. The record is from RNAcentral.